RNAcentral lists this ribosomal RNA (253 nucleotides) under uncultured bacterium. RNAcentral's name for it is "partial 16S ribosomal RNA". It matches the Rfam family "Bacterial small subunit ribosomal RNA", at positions 524 to 776 of the family's 1533-position model. The record is from RNAcentral.
UACGUAGGUGGCAAGCGUUGUCCGGAUUUACUGGGCGUAAAGAGCGCGCAGGCGGUCGUUCAAGUCGCGUGUGAAAGCCCCCGGCUCAACUGGGGAGGGUCACGCGAUACUGAUCGACUGGAAGGCAGGAGAGGGUAGUGGAAUUCCCGGUGUAGUGGUGAAAUGCGUAGAUAUUCGCAAGAACACCAGUGGCGAAGGCGGCUGUCUGGUCCGGUUCUGACGCUGAGGCGCGAAAGCGUGGGGAGCAAACAGG